RNAcentral lists this ribosomal RNA (206 nucleotides) under uncultured bacterium. RNAcentral describes it as "partial 16S ribosomal RNA". It matches the Rfam family "Bacterial small subunit ribosomal RNA", at positions 568 to 774 of the family's 1533-position model. The record is from RNAcentral.
UGCGUAGGUGGUUGGUUAAGUUUGAGGUGAAAGCUCCGAGCUCAACUCGGAAAUGCCUUGAAGACUAUCUGACUAGAGGAUUGGAGGGGAGAUUGGAAUUCUCGGUGUAGCAGUGAAAUGCGUAGAUAUCGAGAGGAACACCAGUGGCGAAGGCGAAUCUCUGGACAAUUCCUGACACUGAGGCACGAAAGCCAAGGGAGCAAACG